UACGUAGGGGGCAAGCGUUGUCCGGAAUCAUUGGGCGUAAAGCGCGUGUAGGCGGCUCGGUAAGUCUGCUGUGAAAGUCCAGGGCUCAACCCUGGGAUGCCGGUGGAUACUGUCGAGCUCGAGUCCGGAAGAGGCGAGUGGAAUUCCUGGUGUAGCGGUGAAAUGCGCAGAUAUCAGGAGGAACACCAAUGGCGAAGGCAGCUCGCUGGGACGUGACUGACGCUGAGACGCGAAAGCGUGGGGAGCAAGCAGG
RNAcentral lists this ribosomal RNA (253 nucleotides) under uncultured bacterium. RNAcentral's name for it is "partial 16S ribosomal RNA". It matches the Rfam family "Bacterial small subunit ribosomal RNA", at positions 524 to 776 of the family's 1533-position model. The record is from RNAcentral.